GAUUAACGCUGGCGGCGUGCAUAACACAUGCAAGUCGAACGAUGAAACUUAAAUGACUUCUUCGGAAUGAUUUUAAUUGGAUUAGUGGCGAACGGGUGAGUAACGCGUGAGUAACCUGCCUUACACAAGGGGAUAGCCUCUGGAAACGGAGAAUAAUACCCUAUGAAACUAUCUUAUCGCAUGAAAAGAUAGUCAAAGUGUUUAGCGGUGUAAGAUGGACUUGCGUCUGAUUAGCUAGUUGGUGAGAUAACAGCCCACCAAGGCAACGAUCAGUAGCCGGCGUGAGAGAGUGUACGGCCACAUUGGGACUGAGACACGGCCCAGACUCCUACGGGAGGCAGCAGUGGGGAAUUUUGCACAAUGGGGGCAACCCUGAUGCAGCGACGCCGCGUGAUUUAGAAGGCCUUCGGGUUGUAAAAAUCUUUUGUAUAGGAAGAAAAUGACAGUACUAUACGAAUAAGGUCCGGCUAAUUACGUG
Molecule: ribosomal RNA, 478 nt
Filed under: uncultured bacterium
Lineage: Bacteria
Description: partial 16S ribosomal RNA
Rfam family: Bacterial small subunit ribosomal RNA
Source: RNAcentral